RNAcentral lists this ribosomal RNA (449 nucleotides) under uncultured bacterium. Its description in RNAcentral is "partial 16S ribosomal RNA". It matches the Rfam family "Bacterial small subunit ribosomal RNA", at positions 30 to 523 of the family's 1533-position model. The record is from RNAcentral.
AUUGAACGCUGGCGGCAUGCCUUACACAUGCAAGUCGAACGGAUCCUUCGGGAUUAGUGGCGGACGGGUGAGUAACACGUGGGAACGUGCCCUUUGGUUCGGAACAACUCAGGGAAACUUGAGCUAAUACCGGAUGUGCCCUUCGGGGGAAAGAUUUAUCGCCAUUGGAGCGGCCCGCGUCUGAUUAGCUAGUUGGUGGGGUAAAGGCCCACCAAGGCGACGAUCAGUAGCUGGUCUGAGAGGAUGAUCAGCCACAUUGGGACUGAGACACGGCCCAAACUCCUACGGGAGGCAGCAGUGGGGAAUCUUGCGCAAUGGGCGAAAGCCUGACGCAGCUAUGCCGCGUGAAUGAUGAAGGUCUUAGGAUUGUAAAAUUCUUUCACCGGGGACGAUAAUGACGGUACCCGGAGAAGAAGCCCCGGCUAACUUCGUGCCAGCCGCCGCAGUAA